This 71-nucleotide microRNA precursor is filed under the name Neotoma lepida (desert woodrat). RNAcentral describes it as "mir-302 microRNA precursor family". It matches the Rfam family "mir-302 microRNA precursor family". The record is from Rfam by way of RNAcentral. Lineage: Eukaryota; Metazoa; Chordata; Mammalia; Rodentia; Cricetidae.
CUUCCACUUUAACAUAGGAGUGCUUUCUGUGUCACGUAAGAAGAGUAAGUGCUUCCAUGUUUUAGUAGAAG